RNAcentral lists this ribosomal RNA (514 nucleotides) under uncultured archaeon. Its description in RNAcentral is "bacterial SSU rRNA". It matches the Rfam family "Archaeal small subunit ribosomal RNA", at positions 345 to 859 of the family's 1478-position model. The record is from RNAcentral.
AAACUUUACAAUGCUGGAAACAGCGAUAAGGGGACCUCGAGUGCCAGGUUACAAAUCUGGCUGUCGUGAUGCCUAAAAAGCAUUGCAUAGCAAGGGCCGGGCAAGACCGGUGCCAGCCGCCGCGGUAACACCGGCGGCUCGAGUGGUAACCGUUAUUAUUGGGUCUAAAGGGUCUGUAGCCGGCCGGAUAAGUCUCUUGGGAAAUCCAGCAGCUUAACUGUUGGGCUUUCAGGAGAUACUGUCUGGCUCGAGGCCGGGAGAGGUGAGAGGUACUUCAGGGGUAGGGGUGAAAUCUUGUAAUCCUUGAAGGACCACCAGUGGCGAAGGCGUCUCACCAGAACGGACCUGACGGCAAGGGACGAAAGCUAGGGGCACGAACCGGAUUAGAUACCCGGGUAGUCCUAGCCGUAAACGAUACUCGCUAGGUGUCGGCCACGGUGCGACCGUUGUCGGUGCCGUAGGGAAGCCGUGAAGCGAGCCACCUGGGAAGUACGGCCGCAAGGCUGAAACUUAA